RNAcentral lists this ribosomal RNA (253 nucleotides) under uncultured bacterium. RNAcentral's name for it is "partial 16S ribosomal RNA". It matches the Rfam family "Bacterial small subunit ribosomal RNA", at positions 524 to 776 of the family's 1533-position model. The record is from RNAcentral.
UACGUAGGGGGCAAGCGUUGUCCGGAAUCAUUGGGCGUAAAGCGCGCGUAGGUGGCCCAGUAAGUCCGCUCUGAAAGUCAAAGGCUCAACCUUUGAAAGCGGGUGGAUACUGCUGGGCUAGAGUCCGGAAGAGGCGAGUGGAAUUCCUGGUGUAGCGGUGGAAUGCGCAGAUAUCAGGAGGAACACCAACGGCGAAGGCAGCCCGCUGGGACGGUACUGACACUAAGGCGCGAAAGCGUGGGGAGCGAACAGG